UACAGAGGUCUCAAGCGUUGUUCGGAUUCAUUGGGCGUAAAGGGUGCGUAGGCGGCGCGGUAAGUCGGGUGUGAAAUCUCGGAGCUUAACUCCGAAACUGCAUUCGAUACUGCCGUGCUUGAGGACUGGAGAGGAGACUGGAAUUUACGGUGUAGCGGUGAAAUGCGUAGAUAUCGUAAGGAAGACCAGUGGCGAAGGCGGGUCUCUGGGCAGUUCCUGACGCUGAGGCGCGAAAGCGUGGGGAGCAAACGGG
This 253-nucleotide ribosomal RNA is filed under the name uncultured bacterium. RNAcentral describes it as "partial 16S ribosomal RNA". It matches the Rfam family "Bacterial small subunit ribosomal RNA", at positions 524 to 776 of the family's 1533-position model. The record is from RNAcentral.